RNAcentral lists this ribosomal RNA (429 nucleotides) under Gemmatimonadota bacterium. Its description in RNAcentral is "Gemmatimonadetes bacterium partial 16S ribosomal RNA". It matches the Rfam family "Bacterial small subunit ribosomal RNA", at positions 355 to 776 of the family's 1533-position model. The record is from RNAcentral. Lineage: Bacteria; Pseudomonadati; Gemmatimonadota.
UAGGGAAUCUUCGGCAAUGGACGAAAGUCUGACCGAGCAACGCCGCGUGAGUGAAGAAGGUUUUCGGAUCGUAAAACUCUGUUGUUAGAGAAGAACAAGGACGUUAGUAACUGAACGUCCCCUGACGGUAUCUAACCAGAAAGCCACGGCUAACUACGUGCCAGCAGCCGCGGUAAUACGUAGGUGGCAAGCGUUGUCCGGAGUUAUUGGGCGUAAAGCGAGCGCAGGCGGUUUCUUAAGUCUGAUGUGAAAGCCCCCGGCUCAACCGGGGAGGGUCAGUGGAAACUGGGUGAAUUGAGUGCAGAAGGGGAGAGUGGAAUUCCAUGUGUAGCGGUGAAAUGCAGAGAUAUAUGGAGGAACACCAGUGGCGAAGGCGGCUCUCUGGUCUGUAACUGACGCUGAGGCUCGAAAGCGUGGGGAGCAAACAGG